Molecule: ribosomal RNA, 459 nt
Filed under: uncultured bacterium
Lineage: Bacteria
Description: partial 16S ribosomal RNA
Rfam family: Bacterial small subunit ribosomal RNA
Source: RNAcentral
CCUACGGGUGGCAGCAGUGAGGAAUAUUGGUCAAUGGGCGGGAGCCUGAACCAGCCAAGCCGCGUGAGGGAAGAAGGUACAGCGUAUCGUAAACCUCUUUUGUCAGGGAACAAAGGCGGGGACUAGUCCCCGGAUGAGGGUACCUGAAGAAAAAGCAUCGGCUAACUCCGUGCCGGCAGCCGCGGUAAUACGGAGGCUGCGAGCGUUAUCCGGAUGUAUUGGGGGUAAAGGGUGCGUAGGCGGGCCUUCAGGCCGGCGGGAAAAUGGCGGGGCUCAACCCCGCCGAGCCGUCGGAACCGGGGGCCUUGAGUAACGGAGAGGUACGCGGAAUGCGUGGUGUAGCGGUGAAAUGCGUAGAUAUCGCGCAGAACCCCGGUGGCGAAGGCGGCGUACCGGCCGGUCACUGACGCUGAGGCACGAAGGCGAGGGUAUCGAAAAGGAUUAGAUACCCUUGUAGUC